This 229-nucleotide ribosomal RNA is filed under the name uncultured bacterium. RNAcentral's name for it is "partial 16S ribosomal RNA". It matches the Rfam family "Bacterial small subunit ribosomal RNA", at positions 568 to 796 of the family's 1533-position model. The record is from RNAcentral.
UGCGCAGGUGGGCUUGUAAGUCAGUGGUGAAAUCUUGCCGCUUAACGGUAAAAUUGCCAUUGAUACUGCAAGUCUUGAGUAUGGUUGAGGUAGGUGAAAUGUGUUGUGUAGCGGUGAAAUGCAUAGAUAUGACACAGAACGCCGAUUGCGAAGGCAACUUACUAAGCCAUUACUGACGCUGAGGCACGAAAGCGUGGGGAGCGAACAGGAUUAGAUACCCUGGUAGUCC